Molecule: transfer RNA, 74 nt
Filed under: Pseudomonadales bacterium
Lineage: Bacteria; Pseudomonadati; Pseudomonadota; Gammaproteobacteria; Pseudomonadales
Also listed under: 2 other names
Description: tRNA-Arg
Rfam family: tRNA
About the family: Transfer RNA (tRNA) molecules are approximately 80 nucleotides in length. Their secondary structure includes four short double-helical elements and three loops (D, anti-codon, and T loops).
Source: RNAcentral
GCGCCCAUAGCUCAGUUGGAUAGAGCAACUGCCUUCUAAGCAGUAGGUCGCAGGUUCGAAUCCUGCUGGGCGUA